Molecule: ribosomal RNA, 484 nt
Filed under: uncultured beta proteobacterium
Lineage: Bacteria; Pseudomonadati; Pseudomonadota; Betaproteobacteria
Description: bacterial SSU rRNA
Rfam family: Bacterial small subunit ribosomal RNA
Source: RNAcentral
AGAGUUUGAUCAUGGCUCAGAUUGAACGCUGCGGCAUGCUCUACACAUGCAAGUCGAGCGGGGUAUGGGGGCAACCUCAUAUUCAGCGGCGGACGGGUGAGUAAUGCAUCGGAACGUAUCCCGUAGUGGGGGACAACCCAGCGAAAGCUGGGCUAAUACCGCAUAUGCUCUGAGGAGGAAAGCAGGGGACCUGGAAGGGCCUUGUGCUAUGGGAGCGGCCGAUGUCCGAUUAGCUGGUUGGUGGGGUAAAGGCUUACCAAGGCGACGAUCGGUAGCUGGUCUGAGAGGAUGAUCAGCCACACUGGGACUGAGACACGGCCCAGACUCCUACGGGAGGCAGCAGUGGGGAAUUUUGGACAAUGGGGGCAACCCUGAUCCAGCCAUGCCGCGUGCGGGAAGAAGGCCUUCGGAGUUGUAAACCGCUUUUGGCCGGGAAGAAAAGGCUCCGGCUAAUACCCGGGGCUAUUGACGGAACCGGCAGGUA